UACGAAGGGGGCUAGCGUUGCCCGGAAUCACUGGGCGUAAAGCGCACGUAGGCGGAUUGCUAAGUCAGGGGUGAAAUCCUGGAGCUCAACUCCAGAACUGCCUUUGAUACUGGUGAUCUUGAGUCCGGGAGAGGUGAGUGGAACUGCGAGUGUAGAGGUGAAAUGCGUAGAUAUUCGCAAGAACACCAGUGGCGAAGGCGGCUCACUGGCCCGGUACUGACGCUGAGGUGCGAAAGCGUGGGGAGCAAACAGG
This 253-nucleotide ribosomal RNA is filed under the name uncultured bacterium. Its description in RNAcentral is "partial 16S ribosomal RNA". It matches the Rfam family "Bacterial small subunit ribosomal RNA", at positions 524 to 776 of the family's 1533-position model. The record is from RNAcentral.